UGUUAAAAUUUUCAUCAAUUUCUACUGUUAAAUACUAGUGUAGUUGAUGGAAUAACCAAUUAUUACAUUUGGCAUGCCACGUGUGCCUUAUUCCUAUUUAUAGGGACUAGUUUUUAACAAUAGGAAUAGAUGAAAAUUUUAAUA
Molecule: non-coding RNA, 144 nt
Organism: Gossypium hirsutum (cotton)
Lineage: Eukaryota; Viridiplantae; Streptophyta; Magnoliopsida; Malvales; Malvaceae
Source: Rfam